UACAAGUCGUUGAUUGAUAAUUUGGA
This 26-nucleotide small RNA is filed under the name Bombyx mori (domestic silkworm). Its description in RNAcentral is "ovarian small RNA-20109". The record is from RNAcentral. Lineage: Eukaryota; Metazoa; Arthropoda; Insecta; Lepidoptera; Bombycidae.